This 468-nucleotide ribosomal RNA is filed under the name uncultured bacterium. RNAcentral's name for it is "partial 16S ribosomal RNA". It matches the Rfam family "Bacterial small subunit ribosomal RNA", at positions 28 to 507 of the family's 1533-position model. The record is from RNAcentral.
GACGAACGCUGGCGGCGUGCUUAACACAUGCAAGUCGAACGGAAAGGCCCUGCUUUUGUGGGGUGCUCGAGUGGCGAACGGGUGAGUAACACGUGAGUAACCUGCCCUUGACUUUGGGAUAACUUCAGGAAACUGGGGCUAAUACCGGAUAGGAGCUCCUGCUGCAUGGUGGGGGUUGGAAGGUUUCGGCGGUUGGGGAUGGACUCGCGGCUUAUCAGCUUGUUGGUGGGGUAGUGGCUUACCAAGGCUUUGACGGGUAGCCGGCCUGAGAGGGUGACCGGCCACAUUGGGACUGAGAUACGGCCCAGACUUCUACGGGAGGCAGCAGUGGGGAAUAUUGCACAAUGGGCGGAAGCCUGAUGCAGCAACGCCGCGUGCGGGAUGACGGCCUUCGGGUUGUAAACCGCUUUCGCCUGUGACGAAGCGUGAGUGACGGUAAUGGGUAAAGAAGCACCGGCUAACUACGUG